GAUGAACGCUAGCGGGAGGCCUAACACAUGCAAGCCGAGCGGUAGAGCUUCUUCGGAAUCUUGAGCGCGGCGUACGGGUGCGUAACACGUGUGCAACCUGCCUUUAUCAGGGGGAUAGCCUUUCGAAAGGAAGAUUAAUACCCCAUAAUAUAUUUGAUGGCAUCAUUAGAGAUUGAUAGCUUUGUCGGAUAGAGAUGGGCACGCGCGAGAUUAGCUAGUUGGUGAGGUAACGGCUCACCUAGUCGGGGAUCGAUAGGGGGCCUGCGAGGGGGGUCCCCCACACGGGGACUGAGACACGGACCAGAGUCCUACGGGAGGCAGCAGUGAGGAAUAUAGGAGAAGGGAGUAGCGCCUGAUCCAGCCAUCCCGGGUGAAGGACGACGGCGUUAGGGGUGGUAGACUUCUUUUGGACAGGGAUAUACCUACUCUCGUGAGAGUAGCUGAAGGUACUGGAUGAAUAAGCACCGGCUAACUCCGUG
RNAcentral lists this ribosomal RNA (479 nucleotides) under uncultured bacterium. RNAcentral's name for it is "partial 16S ribosomal RNA". It matches the Rfam family "Bacterial small subunit ribosomal RNA", at positions 28 to 507 of the family's 1533-position model. The record is from RNAcentral.